RNAcentral lists this ribosomal RNA (403 nucleotides) under uncultured bacterium. Its description in RNAcentral is "bacterial SSU rRNA". It matches the Rfam family "Bacterial small subunit ribosomal RNA", at positions 355 to 775 of the family's 1533-position model. The record is from RNAcentral.
UAGGGAAUUUUCGGCAAUGGGGGAAACCCUGACCGAGCGACGCCGCGUGAGGGAUGAAGGCCUUCGGGUUGUAAACCUCUGUCUUCGGGGACGAUGAUGACGGUACCCGAGGAGGAAGCCACGGCUAACUACGUGCAAGCAGCCGCGGUAAGCCGUGGGUGGCGAGCGUUGUCCGGAAUUAUUGGGCGUAAAGGGCGUGUAGGCGGCCUGUCAAGUCAGACGUGAAAUCCCUGGGCUUAACCUUGGGACUGCGUUUGAUACUGAUGGGCUUGAGGACAGGAGAGGAAAGUGGAACUCCGUGUGUAGCGGUGAAAUGCUCAGAUAUACGGAAGAACACCAGUGGCGAAGGCGACUUUCUGGACUGUCCCUGACGCUGAGGCGCGAAAGCCAGGGGAGCGAACGG